RNAcentral lists this ribosomal RNA (250 nucleotides) under uncultured bacterium. RNAcentral's name for it is "partial 16S ribosomal RNA". It matches the Rfam family "Bacterial small subunit ribosomal RNA", at positions 355 to 602 of the family's 1533-position model. The record is from RNAcentral.
UAAGGAAUAUUGGACAAUGGGCGCAAGCCUGAUCCAGCCAUGCCGCGUGAAGGAUGAAGGCCCUAUGGGUCGUAAACUUCUUUUAUACGGGACAAAACCCCCCGACGUGUCGGGGGUUGAUGGUACUGUAAGAAUAAGGGUCGGCUAACUUCGUGCCAGCAGCCGCGGUAAUACGAAGGACCCAAGCGUUAUCCGGAUUUAUUGGGUUUAAAGGGUGCGUAGGCGGAUUAGUAAGUCAGUGGUGAAAGCC